UACGGGGGGAGCAAGCGUUGUUCGGAUUUACUGGGCGUAAAGGGCGCGUAGGCGGCCAUCGCAAGUCGACUGUGAAAUCUCCGGGCUUAACCCGGAAAGGUCAGCCGAUACUGCGGGGCUAGAGUGCAGAAGGGGCAACUGGAAUUCUCGGUGUAGCGGUGAAAUGCGUAGAUAUCGAGAGGAACACCUGCGGCGAAGGCGGGUUGCUGGGCUGACACUGACGCUGAGGCGCGAAAGCUAGGGGAGCGAACGGG
RNAcentral lists this ribosomal RNA (254 nucleotides) under uncultured bacterium. RNAcentral describes it as "partial 16S ribosomal RNA". It matches the Rfam family "Bacterial small subunit ribosomal RNA", at positions 524 to 776 of the family's 1533-position model. The record is from RNAcentral.